GGUGUAAUCGGGACACACAAUAGAAAUACACACAGCCAAUGGCUUUGAGCAGGUUCUGUGUUUCCUAGUAGGAGAUUAUCACUGUACAAGAAGCCAUAUAACACCAAGGAGGAAGAGACUGUAGGCCACAGUGUGCUGUAUGUUCCCAACAGUAGGUAUUAUAAUCAACUUUAGGUUAUAAACAUGUGUUCCCAACAGUAGGUAUUAUAAUCAACUUUAGGUUAUAAACAUGUGUUCCCAACAGUAGGUAUUAUAAUCAACUUUAGGUUAUAAACAUGUCCUGUUCCCAACAGUAGGUAUUAUAAUCAACUUUAGGUUAUAAACAUGUGUUCCCAACAGUAGGUAUUAUAAUCAACUUUAGGUUAUAAACAUGUCCUGUUCCCAACAGUAGGUAUUAUAAUCAACUUUAGGUUAUAAACAUGUCCUGUUCCCAACAGUAGGUAUUAUAAUCAACUUUAGGUUAUAAACAUGUCCUGUUCCCAACAGUAGGUAUUAUAAUCAACUUUAGGUUAUAAACAUGUCCUGUUCCCAACAGUAGGUAUUAUAAUCAACUUUAGGUUAUAAACAUGUCCUGUUCCCAACAGUAGGUAUUAUAAUCAACUUUAGGUUAUAAACAUGUGUUCCCAACAGUAGGUAUUAUAAUCAACUUUAGGUUAUAAACAUGUCCUGUUCCCAACAGUAGGUAUUAUAAUCAACUUUAGGUUAUAAACAUGUCCUGUUCCCAACAGUAGGUAUUAUAAUCAACUUUAGGUUAUAAACAUGUCCUGUUCCCAACAGUAGGUAUUAUAAUCAACUUUAGGUUAUAAACAUGUGUUCCCAACAGUAGGUAUUAUAAUCAACUUUAGGUUAUAAACAUGUGUUCCCAACAGUAGGUAUUAUAAUCAACUUUAGGUUAUAAACAUGUGGUCCCAACAGUAGGUAUUAUAAUCAACUUUAGGUUAUAAACAUGUCCUGUUCCCAACAGUAGGUAUUAUAAUCAACUUUAGGUUAUAAACAUGUGUUCCCAACAGUAGGUAUUAUAAUCAACUUUAGGUUAUAAACAUGUGUUCCCAACAGUAGGUAUUAUGAUCAACUUUAGGUUAUAAACAUGUCCUGUUCCCAACAGUAGGUAUUAUAAUCAACUUUAGGUUAUAAACAUGUCCUGUUCCCAACAGUAGGUAUUAUAAUCAACUUUAGGUUAUAAACAUGUCCUGUUCCCAACAGUAGGUAUUAUAAUCAACUUUAGGUUAUAAACAUGUGUUCCCAACAGUAGGUAUUAUAAUCAACUUUAGGUUAUAAACAUGUCCUGUUCCCAACAGUAGGUAUUAUAAUCAACUUUAGGUUAUAAACAUGUCCUGUUCCCAACAGUAGGUAUUAUAAUCAACUUUAGGUUAUAAACAUGUCCUGUUCCCAACAGUAGGUAUUAUAAUCAACUUUAGGUUAUAAACAUGUCCUGUUCAACCAUUAUAAUGAAUACCGUCAAUGUAAAUAAGAAUUUGUUCUUAACUGACUUGAGUUAAAUUAAGUAAAUACAUACAUAUAGGAUCUCAGUGUGGUGGAGGAGUCAUUGUGUUUGCUGAUGGACACCAAUUUCUUAACAAUAAAUCAUAAAUUACUGGGUUGCUGAUGAAGGCAACGGACCUAACAAUUAAGUAUAUCUAUUUUUUAAUCCACUUCCACUAUCCUCUAAGAGUUGCUGAAUCUCCUCUCCAGUCUGCUCCUCUAUUCAGACACCUUGGAUGGAGAGAGAGGUGACAUCAGUGUUCCCUAUCACUGGUGGCUGUCAGUAGAUUAUCCUCCCCAAAACUAGAUUUUGGUCAAAGUGCC
Oncorhynchus keta (chum salmon) is the source of this 1806-nucleotide long non-coding RNA. RefSeq lists it as uncharacterized. The record is from RefSeq and is a predicted model, not a curated record. NCBI's taxonomy places the organism in Eukaryota, Metazoa, Chordata, Actinopteri, Salmoniformes, Salmonidae. The transcript has 7 exons.